CCUACGGGAGGCAGCAGUGAGGAAUAUUGGUCAAUGGGCGCAAGCCUGAACCAGCCAUGCCGCGUGCAGGAUGACGGUCCUAUGGAUUGUAAACUGCUUUUGUACAGGAAGAAACACUCCCUCGUGAGGGAGCUUGACGGUACUGUAAGAAUAAGGAUCGGCUAACUCCGUGCCAGCAGCCGCGGUAAUACGGAGGAUCCAAGCGUUAUCCGGAAUCAUUGGGUUUAAAGGGUCCGUAGGCGGGUUUAUAAGUCAGUGGUGAAAGCCCAUCGCUCAACGAUGGAACGGCCAUUGAUACUGUAGAUCUUGAAUUAUUAGGAAGUAACUAGAAUAUGUAGUGUAGCGGUGAAAUGCUUAGAGAUUACAUGGAAUACCGAUUGCGAAGGCAGGUUACUACUAAUGGAUUGACGCUGAUGGACGAAAGCGUGGGUAGCGAACAGGAUUAGAUACCCUGGUAGUCCACGCCGUAAACGAUGGAUACUAGCUGUUCGGAGCAAUCUGAGUGGCUAAGCGAAAGUGAUAAGUAUCCCACCUGGGGAGUACGUUCGCAGAAUGAAACUCAAAGGAAUUGACGGCUGAGAGNGCGAGAGACACGAGGGAGGAGG
RNAcentral lists this ribosomal RNA (605 nucleotides) under uncultured bacterium. RNAcentral describes it as "bacterial SSU rRNA". It matches the Rfam family "Bacterial small subunit ribosomal RNA", at positions 338 to 944 of the family's 1533-position model. The record is from RNAcentral.